CCCGCACGGGCACGGGGGGGAGCAGGUUCGCGUCAUGUAGGUACGCGUGAGUGCACUGAGCCCGCUCCUCUGUCGUCUUCGGUUAGUACAAAGAGAGCCACCGGUACACGUAAUGCCUGAAAGGCACCUGAGUCCCCACGGGGCUGACAAGCCUGUGCGCUAAGUUUGCUGUUCUAAAUCUUGCUAUUACAAAGAUUUCAGCAGUAGUGAAUAAGCCUGACAAGACCAUUUCGCAAUCUCCUUCUCAGGCAGAGGCGGAUGGGAAAGGGAACAUGUGCAUUCUGCACGUGGGCAUCCUUGGACCGACAUCAGCCAAAGCCCCGUCCUGAGAGACCAGGGCAUGGUUCCCCACCUCGGUGCUUUGCCUCAGCCAAACGCCUGACUGCUCGGUCAGGCAGGUGGAGACACCAAAAGGAUGCGAAAAGCUGCCCUGAGCUCCCAGGGAGAUGGCAUGGAGAAUGGUUGCUCUCUGCUGUGAGAACCAGGGACCAGCCAAUUGCACUAUCAGAUGAAACAGAGUGUUCUUCAGACACAUCAUUCAGAGAAGAAAAGCAAUGAGACCUAUCUCAGAUUACAAAAAUGGAGAGACGUGGGCACUGUUUAAAGGCUACCUCAUGCAGCACGCUGAAGUUUGAAAGCAGCGAGGUAGACUCACUUUUCCUCAGGUGGCUGUAAUCACAGGAUGAUGGACCUUAAUGAUGGAGAACACUUGUGACCUGGCCAGUGAAGGCAUUUUCCCUCUGCAGGAGACUGAACAGAAGAAGGAACCUACAGAAGCCGCUGGAGUCCCCUUUCAGCACUUUUGGAGUACAAUCUUUGCCAAUAGGGACAAACUUGUUGUUGCCUGUGGCUGGAACUGGUGACAAGAAGUCUGCAUACCAGUGCACAUAGAGUGAGGCACACCAGUUGAACUGAAAGGAGAUCAAGCUCAGAUACCCCCUGACAUCCUCUUGCAUGGCUGAAAUGAGGUGAUAUGAAGAAGAAGCACUGACGGUCUUGGCCCCUCAGCUCAGGUUUAUGAGCCUCUGGGGCAGCUUGACAGAGACAGGCACUGGCACUGCAAGGAGAAAGUCAUAUUUUCCAGGGAAAAAAAGUCAUUAAAGAACAAAGUGCCGUAAGGAGAGCCAGAUUCCUGGGGAACUACGGCAAUGUGGAGAC
Molecule: long non-coding RNA, 1158 nt
Filed under: Gallus gallus (chicken)
Lineage: Eukaryota; Metazoa; Chordata; Aves; Galliformes; Phasianidae
Description: lncRNA (ENSGALG00010006959.1)
Source: RNAcentral